Molecule: long non-coding RNA, 157 nt
Organism: Hyalella azteca
Lineage: Eukaryota; Metazoa; Arthropoda; Malacostraca; Amphipoda; Hyalellidae
Exons: 2
Source: RefSeq, a predicted model, not a curated record
GUGGUCACGGUGGUGCUACACUCCUGGAAGCUACACUCCUUGACGCUUCGAGACGUCAGAGGCGUGUACCGUGUGAUGUUCAUGGCCAGCCAUGGAUGACCGAGCCAGCCGUUGAUCCAUCCUUUGAACUUAAAUAAAGCCUGUUCAGUUUCUAGUA